CCUUAACGAUAGAUUGCGAUUUAUGAGUGUUCACACAGAUUGAUUAGGUUUUAAUAAGUUGAAGUGACAGAGCUUUAAUUAAUGAUUUCGAUUAUUGAUUAAAGCUUUUUGCUUUAAGCUCUUUAACAAUUUGGAAAGCUGACUGAUUUAACUAACUUACGAGUUAGAUAAAUCAAAAUUUAAAAGUUCUUAAUAUCUUUUGUUUAUCUUUAGAUAAACAAAUUAAAAACACAUUCAAGUGUUCUUGUAUUUUGAAUCCGGCGAAAAACCAGAACUCUCAAUGAAGAGUUCAACCUUGGUUGUUUAUGCCAUACGAAACCUCUUGGGGUUGUAU
Molecule: unclassified non-coding RNA, 334 nt
Filed under: Aliivibrio salmonicida
Lineage: Bacteria; Pseudomonadati; Pseudomonadota; Gammaproteobacteria; Vibrionales; Vibrionaceae
Description: partial 16S-23S ribosomal RNA intergenic spacer
Source: RNAcentral